CCUACGGGAGGCAGCAGUGGGGAAUUUUGGACAAUGGGCGCAAGCCUGAUCCAGCAAUGCCGCGUGAGUGAAGAAGGCCUUCGGGUUGUAAAGCUCUUUUGUCAGGGAAGAAACGGUGGGGGCUAAUAUCUCCUACUAAUGACGGUACCUGAAGAAUAAGCACCGGCUAACUACGUGCCAGCAGCCGCGGUAAUACGUAGGGUGCAAGCGUUAAUCGGAAUUACUGGGCGUAAAGCGUGCGCAGGCGGUUUUGUAAGUCUGUCGUGAAAGCCCCGGGCUCAACCUGGGAAUUGCGAUGGAGACUGCAAGGCUUGAAUCUGGCAGAGGGGGGUAGAAUUCCACGUGUAGCAGUGAAAUGCGUAGAGAUGUGGAGGAACACCGAUGGCGAAGGCAGCCCCCUGGGUCAAGAUUGACGCUCAUGCACGAAAGCGUGGGGAGCAAACAGGAUUAGAUACCCUGGUAGUCCACGCCCUAAACGAUGUCUACUAGUUGUCGGGUUUUAAUUAACUUGGUAACGCAGCUAACGCGUGAAGUAGACCGCCUGGGGAGUACGGUCGCAAGAUUAAAACUCGAAAGGAAUUGACGG
This 586-nucleotide ribosomal RNA is filed under the name uncultured bacterium. RNAcentral's name for it is "bacterial SSU rRNA". It matches the Rfam family "Bacterial small subunit ribosomal RNA", at positions 338 to 916 of the family's 1533-position model. The record is from RNAcentral.